UGCUUCUCCGGAUGAGUUGCGAACGGGUGAGUAACGCGUAGGUAACCUGCCUGGUAGCGGGGGAUAACUAUUGGAAACGAUAGCUAAUACCGCAUAAGAGUAGAUGUUGCAUGACAUUUGCUUAAAAGGUGCAAUUGCAUCACUACCAGAUGGACCUGCGUUGUAUUAGCUAGUUGGUGGGGUAACGGCUCACCAAGGCGACGAUACAUAGCCGACCUGAGAGGGUGAUCGGCCACACUGGGACUGAGACACGGCCCAGACUCCUACGGGAGGCAGCAGUAGGGAAUCUUCGGCAAUGGACGGAAGUCUGACCGAGCAACGCCGCGUGAGUGAAGAAGGUUUUCGGAUCGUAAAGCUCUGUUGUAAGAGAAGAACGAGUGUGAGAGUGGAAAGUUCACACUGUGACGGUAUCUUACCAGAAAGGGACGGCUAACUACGUGCCAGCAGCCGCGGUAAUACGUAGGUCCCGAGCGUUGUCCGGAUUUAUUGGGCGUAAAGCGAGCGCAGGCGGUUAGAUAAGUCUGAAGUUAAAGGCUGUGGCUUAACCAUAGUACGCUUUGGAAACUGUUUAACUUGAGUGCAAGAGGGGAGGGUGGAAUUCCAUGUGUAGCGGU
RNAcentral lists this ribosomal RNA (614 nucleotides) under uncultured Bacilli bacterium. RNAcentral's name for it is "bacterial SSU rRNA". It matches the Rfam family "Bacterial small subunit ribosomal RNA", at positions 80 to 682 of the family's 1533-position model. Lineage: Bacteria; Bacillati; Bacillota; Bacilli. The record is from RNAcentral.